UUUGGUGAGCGAGUGAGAGAGAGAAGAACAUUCGUACGCAGUGGGAAAUAUCCAAAGAUUGAGAGAUCAACGGAGUGAGAGAUAGAUGAAGGAAGAUAGUGAUUUUGGAAAAGCAUGAGUGUUUGUUCGAUUACAGUGGAAUGUAUACAAAACACGACGGACCGGUAAACUGUACAGAUGCUGAAGACAAAGUCAAACUUAUUGCGAUCUCCAUAUCAGCUUUUCACGAACUAUAAUAUUUCUUACGACGUUUGACAUUACCGUUUCUAUUACUCUGAUCUUACAUUCCUUCCAGAAACAGAACAGAAAAUGAUAUCGUUUCUCGUAUUAUGUUCUAUGUGUGCAUAUAUGAUUACAUCCAUAUAUUGGAUUAACCUGGAUUAAAAAGGAUUACUUUCAAAUAUGGAUUUACGUGCCUGGACAGUACCUUUGGCGACAAGCUGGUUUGUGGUUCUCAUGUUAUUAUUGGAUGUUUCAAUUGGAUCCACUGCAGAUUUGCACGCACCGUGUUACGCUUGUCGCAUAUUCAACAUCAUGCAGAGGGACAAUCCCAAACAUGACCCAAAGAAACAAACAUAUUUUUACUCAUGAAUACACAGAAAACGAAUGCACGAAUUCCUAAACAAAUAAAACGACAAAUAUUUAUUCUAUCUACUUAGA
This is an RNA transcript of Octopus sinensis (East Asian common octopus), 660 nucleotides long. RefSeq lists it as uncharacterized. The record is from RefSeq and is a predicted model, not a curated record. NCBI's taxonomy places the organism in Eukaryota, Metazoa, Mollusca, Cephalopoda, Octopoda, Octopodidae. The transcript is spliced from 3 exons.